GCCUUAUUAGCUCAGCUAGUUAGAGCGUCGUACUAAUAUCUUCAUCUUGUGAUAUCAAGUCAUGCGAAGGUCAACAGUUCAAUCCUGUUAUUGGGCA
This 97-nucleotide transfer RNA is filed under the name Cercophora newfieldiana. RNAcentral's name for it is "tRNA-Ile". Lineage: Eukaryota; Fungi; Ascomycota; Sordariomycetes; Sordariales; Lasiosphaeriaceae. The record is from RNAcentral.